GGAUGCGAUCAUACCAGCACUAACGUACCAGAUCCCAUUUGAAAUCCGAAGAUAGUGUGUGCUUGCGCGAGACUAGUACUAGGAUGGGUGACGCUCUUGAUGUUGCAUUUC
This 111-nucleotide ribosomal RNA is filed under the name Capsicum annuum. Lineage: Eukaryota; Viridiplantae; Streptophyta; Magnoliopsida; Solanales; Solanaceae. The record is from RNAcentral.